GCCGAGGGCCUGAGAGAUUUUGAAAACCAGGCCUAGUCUCUUCCUGUCUCGAGGUGGGUGACGGGAAGGCGUCGAUCGACGCCCGCUCCUCCAGCUCUGGCCCUUGGGGGGACUCCCGUCCGAUGCCCAGGAGACUUCGGAGGUUGCAGUCCAGGGCCUGGAGACUGCUUCUGGGCUGACGGUGGAAGGCAGGGGCCUCGCACGCUCUCAGACUCUUCCGGAAAUGUUUGAAACAGCCCCGCGGUCAAGGAGAUGCCCCAGGACGUGAAGCGCUCGCGAGCAAACUCCACCUUCGGAGGAGCGCUCGGCCGGGGCACGGCGCCCCGACCCCGAAGGAAAAGUAGAAAAGUUUGAGGCUGCCGCGCACUUCCUGGCCAACGCCGUCCUUUUCUGUAACGGGGCCGGAGCCGACGGCACGACUGUGAGCGGCCGACUGCAUAGACCCGUCCCGUAGCAGAGCCCGCGGCGGCGUGCGCCUCGCGCUCUCUCCAGUUCAAGCUGAGACGUGGCCUGCCGCAGGUGGGCUUUGGGGCUGGAGCCCCGCAACGAGACCUACAAGUUGAACUUGAAGAGGGCGGAGCUCGGGCUUCGAGAGAGAGUCCCACCGCAGGUGCUGGCGGCUUUGAACCACCGGCCCGCUGCACAACCCGAGCUUCCUGAGCGUGGCACCAGACCUCACGAAGUUCAACAGCUGCCACAUAGGAAGAGGAGUGCAGGAAGAGAAUGAUGGCGGUGAUGACCGGCACAGAGCUGGUGGAUGCCGGACUGGAAGUGAGAGGCUUAGGCCAGGAAGAUAGAAGAAGCAUUGAGUUGAUAAACCAGAGAGAGUCCCUUUCGAGGGGAGCUGACUAGGGAAAAACUGAAGGUUCAAAGGGCAGACAAUGAAGACCACCAGAGUGGAACAAGAAUGGCAAAGAAAAGGGGACUCCAGUGGGGAAGACUGCUGGGAUUGCCUGGACGUGCAUUCAUUCUAGGCCUACUAAAGACUUGGGGAGCGCAUGCCGAGGUCCAAAGAUCAAGACCUAGACAGACACCUUGGUGAAGAACUGUGGAGGACUGAGUCAUCCACUCCGUGAGGACAGGCCCUAGGAGGGAUCCUCUUUGUAUCAUUGACGAUAUCGGAGAUGUGGGCCUUAUUCCCAUUAUGGCAUCUUUGUCAAGGGUCCAGAAUCCAUUGGCAGGCUCGUUGGACUCCUAUAGCUGAGCAUUCCUGGAUCUCUUCCUUUGUCGCGAUUUCUUCACCUCCUUCGUGAUUUCUCUUUUUAUUCACCCACUCCCUCAGCGGUGCUGCCUCGCAAAGUCCUGAGCACGCUUCCCUGGUCUCUGACCCUGUCCCUGACCACACUUGAAAAUCAAAUUUAAAGCCCAGGCUUGUGCUAUAUUUUCCAAAUCUCCAGUCGCAAUAUCCAAGCCUCUGUUUUUCACUGCCUGCAUAUUUUUGAUCUCAAAAUGUUGAAAACAGAAUUCAUCUUUCUAGGCUAAAAGUGUCAGAGUCAUCUUGUAUUCAUCCCCCUACCUUGCCACCCACCCUGUUCGAUUCUGUUGCUUUUAGCUCUGAAAUAUCUUUUCUAUCCAUCUUCUUUCCGUUUCCACCAGCAAUUCUGUAUUUCAGGCCAUUGCCAUUAUUAUUUGAUGACGAUUAACAAUGAUCUAGCUGGCCUCUCUGAAUCCGGACUUCAGGGUGUCUGAUAAUCCUGUCCACUGUCAUUUACUUCAUCAGCUAAAAGCUGUGUUUCUCAAACUGGUUCAAAUAAUGAUAAUUUUGAGGAAUGUUAAUAGGGAGUAUGUUGCUUUUGAAAAGGGAGUUGUCAAAUGUUAUUAGGAAAUGCUGGAUUAAAGUAAAAUGUUUAUGACAGCACUUUUCAAAGCCUUUAGCAUGUUAAUUUACAUAACAAAUCUUCAAUAUAACAUGUAGUCCCACGGGGGCAAGGAUUCGUUUGCUGUUUUCAUUGGUAUAGUUCCAGAAUAGUCGCAUGAUGCCAUUAAAUAACAAGUACUCGAUAUACAUAAUUUGAAUAAAAGAAUAAAAGAUAGGUAUGUUAUAAAUAGUAUUUUCCAUUUUUAUGUAAAAAUAACAAACAUUUUAUCAAGUUACAUCUCAGGGAAGCAGUGUUUAUGAAAGUUUCUGUGAAACAUUGCUCUAAAGUAGGGUUUCUCAACCAUGGCAUGAAAAGACCUUUUGAGCCAGAUAAUUCUUUAUGGCAAGGACCCAUCCUGCUCAUUGUAGGAGGUUUAACAGCCUGUUGGCCUCUACCUACUAGAUCAGAGUAGCACCGGCCCUCUCUUGUUCACCGCUGGCCGUAUUCGGUUUUUGACCUUGCCUCUGUGACAAAAAUAAUGUCUCCAGACAUUGACAGAUGUCCCUGGAGUGAGGGGGGCAAAAUCAUCCCUCAUUAAGAAAAUGUUAUAGUCUGGGCUUAUUAUUCUCCAGCUCAGAAAUUUUCACAACUUCUUCCUUGCCUGUGGAAUUAAGUCUGAAUUCCUUAGGCUGAUACCUAAGUUCUCUGUCCUCAAUCUUACAAGCACUUGUGCACACACGCGCACACACAAUUUAUGGGAACCAGGUGAUUAGAGAGGUAGCACGUGGCAAGAAAGGCGGUAGUUCACUUUGUGUAAUUGUGAUGAUCUCAGUGUGUCCCAGAUGCUGUUCCCUUCUCUUUCCCACACCUUCAGCGGGCCGAAUGUUUAUUUGAACACUUCUUAAAAAAAAAAAAAAAGUCAUGUGCUACCCAAGUGGCCUUUGAUAGUCUUCCAUAGUUGUGAUUUCACCUGAGUAGAAACAUUUGUAAGAACACUGCAUGAUGUAUCUGGGGUCCUGUGUCCCAUUAGAGGACCCCUCCGACUUUUAUAUAUGACCCAGACCUAAAAUUCCUUAAUCAAUAUGCAAGACUGUCUACCACGUGCACAGCAUUGUGCACUCUGCUGGGAUUAUAACAGUUGCGGAAACAUACUCCCUACCUUCAAGGAAUUUAAAUACUAGUGAUUAGUGAAUUGAGAAAGUGCUGUACCAGACAUGAACAUCAAGAGGUGGAGAGCUUAAGAGAGACAAAAACGAACUGCUAUCUUGUAAGCUAGUAUAGAGGAGGCAGGAAGUAUGCCGAGUCAUGAACGACAGUUAAGGUGUUGAUCCCACACUCGGAGUGGCCCGUUGACUCAGGCCUUGUGACGAGCAUAUCUACAGGUGUGAAGGCAGGAUUAUGUUUUAUAGAGUGGCUGUUGUUCAGUGCUGGCUAUAUUUGUUUUUGGUCUUUUUAAUGUUUAUUUAUUUUUGAGAGACAGAGAGUUAGCGGAGGAGGAAAGAGAGAGCAAGGGAGACACAGAAUCCAAAGCAGGCUUCGG
Felis catus (domestic cat) is the source of this 3339-nucleotide long non-coding RNA. RefSeq lists it as uncharacterized. The transcript is spliced from 3 exons. NCBI's taxonomy places the organism in Eukaryota, Metazoa, Chordata, Mammalia, Carnivora, Felidae. The record is from RefSeq and is a predicted model, not a curated record.